AGAGUUUGAUCAUGGCUCAGAUUGAACGCUGGCGGCAUGCCUAACACAUGCAAGUCGAACGGCAGCACGGAUUAACCUUGGUUAAUUGGGUGGCGAGUGGCGAACGGGUGAGUAACGCGUGGGAAUAUACCUUAAAGAGGGGGGAUAACUUGGGGAAACUCAAGCUAAUACCGCAUGUACUCUACGGAGUAAAGCUGGGGACCGCAAGGCCUGGCGCUUUAAGCAUAGCCUGCGUCCGAUUAGCUAGUUGGUAGGGUAAAGGCCUACCAAGGCGACGAUUGGUAGCUGGUCUGAGAGGACGAACAGCCACACUGGGACUGAGACACGGCCCAGACUCCUACGGGAGGCAGCAGUGGGGAAUAUUGGACAAUGGGGGGAACCCUGAUCCAGCGAUGCCGCGUGUGUGAAGAAGGCCUGCGGGUUGUAAAGCACUUUCAGUGGGGAGGAGAGUAUAUAGGUUAAGAGCUGAUAUACGAGACGUUACCCACAGAAGAAGCACCGGCUAACUCCGUGCCAGCAGCCGCGGUAAUACGGAGGGUGCGAGCGUUAAUCGGAAUUACUGGGCGUAAAGGGUGCGUAGGUGGUUGCAUAAGUUAUCUGUGAAAUUCCUGGGCUUAACCUAGGGCGGUCAGAUAAUACUGUGUGACUGGAGUAUAGGAGAGGGUAGUGGAAUUUCCGGUGUAGCGGUGAAAUGCGUAGAGAUCGGAAGGAACACCAGUGGCGAAGGCGGCUACCUGGCCUAAUACUGACACUGAGGCACGAAAGCGUGGGUAGCAAACAGGAUUAGAUACCCUAGUAGUCC
RNAcentral lists this ribosomal RNA (802 nucleotides) under uncultured bacterium. RNAcentral describes it as "bacterial SSU rRNA". It matches the Rfam family "Bacterial small subunit ribosomal RNA", at positions 8 to 796 of the family's 1533-position model. The record is from RNAcentral.